RNAcentral lists this ribosomal RNA (978 nucleotides) under Staphylococcus aureus. RNAcentral's name for it is "partial 23S ribosomal RNA". It matches the Rfam family "Bacterial large subunit ribosomal RNA", at positions 580 to 1561 of the family's 2925-position model. Lineage: Bacteria; Bacillati; Bacillota; Bacilli; Caryophanales; Staphylococcaceae. The record is from RNAcentral.
CCCGUUAAUGGGUGAUGGCGUGCCUUUUGUAGAAUGAACCGGCGAGUUACGAUUUGAUGCAAGGUUAAGCAGUAAAUGUGGAGCCGUAGCGAAAGCGAGUCUGAAUAGGGCGUUUAGUAUUUGGUCGUAGACCCGAAACCAGGUGAUCUACCCUUGGUCAGGUUGAAGUUCAGGUAACACUGAAUGGAGGACCGAACCGACUUACGUUGAAAAGUGAGCGGAUGAACUGAGGGUAGCGGAGAAAUUCCAAUCGAACCUGGAGAUAGCUGGUUCUCUCCGAAAUAGCUUUAGGGCUAGCCUCAAGUGAUGAUUAUUGGAGGUAGAGCACUGUUUGGACGAGGGGCCCCUCUCGGGUUACCGAAUUCAGACAAACUCCGAAUGCCAAUUAAUUUAACUUGGGAGUCAGAACAUGGGUGAUAAGGUCCGUGUUCGAAAGGGAAACAGCCCAGACCACCAGCUAAGGUCCCAAAAUAUAUGUUAAGUGGAAAAGGAUGUGGCGUUGCCCAGACAACUAGGAUGUUGGCUUAGAAGCAGCCAUCAUUUAAAGAGUGCGUAAUAGCUCACUAGUCGAGUGACACUGCGCCGAAAAUGUACCGGGGCUAAACAUAUUACCGAAGCUGUGGAUUGUCCUUUGGACAAUGGUAGGAGAGCGUUCUAAGGGCGUUGAAGCAUGAUCGUAAGGACAUGUGGAGCGCUUAGAAGUGAGAAUGCCGGUGUGAGUAGCGAAAGACGGGUGAGAAUCCCGUCCACCGAUUGACUAAGGUUUCCAGAGGAAGGCUCGUCCGCUCUGGGUUAGUCGGGUCCUAAGCUGAGGCCGACAGGCGUAGGCGAUGGAUAACAGGUUGAUAUUCCUGUACCACCUAUAAUCGUUUUAAUCGAUGGGGGGACGCAGUAGGAUAGGCGAAGCGUGCGAUUGGAUUGCACGUCUAAGCAGUAAGGCUGAGUAUUAGGCAAAUCCGGUACUCGUUAAGGCUGAGC